Molecule: ribosomal RNA, 918 nt
Filed under: uncultured Bacillota bacterium
Lineage: Bacteria; Bacillati; Bacillota
Description: bacterial SSU rRNA
Rfam family: Bacterial small subunit ribosomal RNA
Source: RNAcentral
GGAUCCAGACUUUGAUCCUGGCUCAGGACGAACGCUGGCGGCGUGCCUAACACAUGCAAGUCGAACGGAACUUUUUUAAAAGAUUUCUUCGGAAUGAAUUUGAUUAAGUUUAGUGGCGGACGGGUGAGUAACGCGUGAGUAACCUGCCUCUAAGAGGGGAAUAACAUUCUGAAAAGAAUGCUAAUACCGCAUAAUAUAUAUUUAUCGCAUGGUAGAUAUAUCAAAGAUUUAUCGCUUAGAGAUGGACUCGCGUCCGAUUAGUUAGUUGGUGAGGUAACGGCUCACCAAGACUGCGAUCGGUAGCCGGACUGAGAGGUUGAACGGCCACAUUGGGACUGAGACACGGCCCAGACUCCUACGGGAGGCAGCAGUGGGGGAUAUUGCGCAAUGGGGGAAACCCUGACGCAGCAACGCCGCGUGAAGGAUGAAGGUCUUCGGAUUGUAAACUUCUUUUAUUAAGGACGAAGAAAGUGACGGUACUUAAUGAAUAAGCUCCGGCUAACUACGUGCCAGCAGCCGCGGUAAUACGUAGGGAGCAAGCGUUGUCCGGAUUUACUGGGUGUAAAGGGUGCGUAGGCGGCUUUGCAAGUCAGAUGUGAAAUCUAUGGGCUCAACCCAUAGCCUGCAUUUGAAACUGCAGAGCUUGAGUGAAGUAGAGGCAGGCGGAAUUCCCCGUGUAGCGGUGAAAUGCGUAGAGAUGGGGAGGAACACCAGUGGCGAAGGCGGCCUGCUGGGCUUUAACUGACGCUGAGGCACGAAAGCGUGGGUAGCAAACAGGAUUAGAUACCCUGGUAGUCCACGCUGUAAACGAUGAUUACUAGGUGUGGGGGGUCUGACCCCUUCCGUGCCGGAGUUAACACAAUAAGUAAUCCACCUGGGGAGUACGGCCGCAAGGUUGCAACUCAAAGGAAUUGACGG